RNAcentral lists this ribosomal RNA (483 nucleotides) under uncultured bacterium. Its description in RNAcentral is "partial 16S ribosomal RNA". It matches the Rfam family "Bacterial small subunit ribosomal RNA", at positions 30 to 506 of the family's 1533-position model. The record is from RNAcentral.
AUUGAACGCUGGCGGAAUGCUUUACCCAUGCAAGUCGAGCGGCAGCACGGGGGCAACCCUGGUGGCGAGCGGCGAACGGGUGAGUAAUACAUCGGAACAUGCCCAGUCGUGGGGGAUAACACUUCGAAAGAAGUGCUAAUACCGCAUACGUCCUGAGGGGGAAAGCGGGGGAUCGCAAGACCUCGCGCGAUUGGAGUGGCCGAUGUCAGAUUAGCUAGUUGGUGGGGUAAAGGCCUACCAAGGCAACGAUCUGUAGCUGGUCUGAGAGGAUGAUCAGCCACACUGGGACUGAGACACGGCCCAGACUCCUACGGGAGGCAGCAGUGGGGAAUUUUGGACAAUGGGGGCAACCCUGAUCCAGCCAUUCCGCGUGAGUGAAGAAGGCCUUCGGGUUGUAAAGCUCUUUCGGCAGGAACGAAACGGUGAGCUCUAACAUAGCUUGCUAAUGACGGUACCUGAAGAAGAAGCACCGGCUAACUACGU